UACGUAGGGGCCUAGCGUUGUCCGGAAUCAUUGGGCGUAAAGAGCGUGUAGGCGGCUCGAUAAGUCUGCUGUGAAAGUCCAGGGCUCAACCCUGGAAGGCCGGUGGAAACUGUCGGGUUAGAGUCCGGAAGAGGCGAGUGGAAUUCCCGGUGUAGCGGUGAAAUGCGCAGAUAUCGGGAGGAACACCAAUGGCGAAGGCGGCUCUCUGGGACGGUACUGACGCGUGAGACGCGAAAGCGUGGGGAGCGAACGAGG
RNAcentral lists this ribosomal RNA (255 nucleotides) under uncultured bacterium. RNAcentral's name for it is "partial 16S ribosomal RNA". It matches the Rfam family "Bacterial small subunit ribosomal RNA", at positions 524 to 777 of the family's 1533-position model. The record is from RNAcentral.